CUCUCAUAGCAUCAUCGAAAACAAAAUUUCUUGUUAUAAAAUCUUAAGUUUGCUUCAGAUUGUUACAACUUUCUCUAUUCCAUUAAAUAAACUAUUUGUCUGAUUUUAAUAAAGAUUAAAUAUUUCCCUCUUUACACAGAUGCUCCCACCUCCCUCUCAGGCUGAUUUGCAACAGUUAUAUAAGACCUUUCCAAGGAGAGUUCCUUCACUCUGCAAGUGUUUCCAUUUCAGGCUAGCAAGCCAAGGCGCGCAAUCUUUGCUGAAAGGAACGAAUGAAUGACAAAAACGAUAGGUUUCGGGCAUGAGUGAAGAUCCAACUGCUGGACAAGAACAACAAAAUAACAAACUUGAGUUUUUAAAAAGGCGAACUUACAUAACAAUGGUGCAAGACUUGUUAAGAGUACAACAUAAACAAACGGAAACAAUGUCUUUAAUGGCCCAGUGGAAGCAUGAUUCUUUAACAUCUCAACAAAAUGUGACAAUAAUGUAAAACUAUGCCCCUGACCAAAGCAGUAAUGCCUUCCAUUGAACUGCAAGCAACACAAUGCAUAGAAUAAUGUCUAACAGGGGUGAGACAAGCUGCUGGAAAAGCGUUCACAAAUCCAACUGCUUUGAUGUGACGGAGUGUUGGCCUGAAGCCCAAACAUAUUUGC
Molecule: long non-coding RNA, 653 nt
Organism: Stegostoma tigrinum
Lineage: Eukaryota; Metazoa; Chordata; Chondrichthyes; Orectolobiformes; Stegostomatidae
Exons: 3
Source: RefSeq, a predicted model, not a curated record